UACGUAGGGGGCAAGCGUUGUCCGGAAUCAUUGGGCGUAAAGGGCGUGUAGGCGGCCCGGUAAGUCCGCUGUGAAAGUCCAGGGCUCAACCCUGGGAUGCCGGUGGAUACUGUCGGGCUCGAGUCCGGAAGAGGAGUGUGGAAUUCCUGGUGUAGCGGUGAAAUGCGCAGAUAUCAGGAGGAACACCAAUGGCGAAGGCAGCACUCUGGGACGUGACUGACGCUGAGACGCGAAAGCGUGGGGAGCAAACAGG
Molecule: ribosomal RNA, 253 nt
Filed under: uncultured bacterium
Lineage: Bacteria
Description: partial 16S ribosomal RNA
Rfam family: Bacterial small subunit ribosomal RNA
Source: RNAcentral